Molecule: ribosomal RNA, 467 nt
Filed under: uncultured bacterium
Lineage: Bacteria
Description: bacterial SSU rRNA
Rfam family: Bacterial small subunit ribosomal RNA
Source: RNAcentral
GACGAACGCUGGCGGCAUGCCUAACACAUGCAAGUCUAGGGGUAGCAAUACCACUGGCGCACGGGUGAGUAACACGUAGGUUAUCUGCCCCCAUCACAGACAUAACCCCGGGAAACCGGGGCUAAUAUCUGAUGAGGUCGCGAGAUCAAAGCUUCGGCGGAUGGGGAUGAGCCUGCGGCUGAUUAGCUAGUUGGUGAGGUAAUGGCUCACCAAGGCGACGAUCAGUAGCUGGUCUGAGAGGACGAACAGCCACACUGGAACUGAGACACGGUCCAGACUCCUACGGGAGGCAGCAGUGAGGAAUAUUGGUCAAUGGGAGCAAUCCUGAACCAGCAAUGCCGCGUGUGGGAUGACAGGGCUUCGCCUUGUAAACCACUGUCGGACGGGACGAAAGGAGGCCUCGGGGCCUCUGGGACGGUACCGUCAAAGGAAGGAUCGGCUAACUACGUGCCAGCAGCCGCGGUAAU